This 2961-nucleotide long non-coding RNA is filed under the name Lupinus angustifolius (narrow-leaved blue lupine). RNAcentral describes it as "long non-coding RNA (LANG_LNC002041)". Lineage: Eukaryota; Viridiplantae; Streptophyta; Magnoliopsida; Fabales; Fabaceae. The record is from RNAcentral.
AGAUAAAAGCAUCUAAGUGGAAAAUAUUAUUGAAAAUGAACACAGUUGCAUCAGGUAAAAACAAAUAAGCACAGCAACAAGGAAGGAGAGAAGAGUAACUAAUAAACUCCUAAGCACCAUAGGGAGGCCUAACAAUAGCACACUAAGCUUAAAAUUGGGUUAGAAACCCAUUCAAACCAAUACAUAGUUGCCCCUAAACGAAAACACAUUAUUUGUGCAUAACAUCUUAAUUAUUAUUUUCUUCCUCAUAUACAAGGGGAAGAAAAUUCAAAAGCUAAACUUAAUUGAAGAAACUAAGACUCCUCAUGAUGAUGCAUCUUGUUGGCAACAUUGCACUGCUUUCUGAUCUCACCUUGUGUGCCAGUGAGAGGGUUGUUUUCAGAGAGCAAGGUGAUAGCUCUUGAAAACUCCUUGAAGAAAUAGUCUUGGCUCUUAGCCAUUUUCUUGACAUAAGGCUUGGUCCUCUUAUCAGUGGCUAAUUGGUGAUCCACGACCAAAAGUCCCUUGUUGUCCAAGAUGUUCCUGUAAUAGUUGUUGUCUAAAACCAUGGGUGUGCCACGGUCAUUUCUCACGUACUGCACGGCCUUCGGGUCUGGAAUGGAGUCAGGGCACUUCUUAAGCAUGUGAGGAACAUGGUCUGGGUUGAUAACUGGGUCAACCUCUGGGUAUAAACGGUGCACCAACUUCACACAGUGUGUUCUACCAACACUGUGUGCUCCUGUUCAACACAACAAGAUCAAUAAUUAUGUAAGUUAAAAACUAUAAUUAAGACAUGUAUCAUGUAUGUAUAUGUUAUAAUGUUACACAUGUUAGUAUGUAUAAUGAAUCAUGUCAUGUUGACCCCACAUGUAUUUAUUGAAAGAGAAUAUGAUGGAUAAACUUUGGCAUUUUAAUCAAGGCCAUUCACGUGGGUAUGGGACGUUUUUGAAUUCAUGGCCAUCAUGAUAUUUUUUCAACGUCGACAAUACGGCACAAACAAACAACAUAAUUCAUGUCAACGGUGUUGCAGUGGGAAAGGAUCUCAUCACUGAAUCCAAUGACCAAUUUUAAUUUUUUAUAAUUAAUAUGACAUGUUUUUAUCAGUGCGGGAAUAGUAAUGAGCAGUUACCGAGCAAAGCAACAACGCCCGGGGUGUCAAUACCCAUGGCACCAAACUUGUGAAGAACAGAGGAAAUGGACUCAUUGUGGUCAGGGAGGUACUGUUCCACUACUUCAGCUCUGCUCCUUCUACCAUCCCUUCUUCCUGUUUUUAGAGCUAUAUGUGGACCUCCUAGCUGCAAGAAACAAACAUACCAAGUUAACAACACUCUUCAUUAACUAUAAUCUUAAGAUGGAUAAGGGAAUUACCGAAACAAUGCCAUCUCUGGCAGAAAGAACAAGGAUAUCAGCACAGGAAACAACUCCAGGGCACUCCCUUUCCACGGCUUCUUUAAUGGUCUCAAUGUACCUAAAGUUCCUCAGCCCAAAGCUCCUAUCAGUUUCCUUCUCAGACAAGCUCCUUCUUGUUGAAUCCAGCAACAGUGAAGCAUCACAUCUCUAACCUCAUCAAAAACAUUCUAGUAAUUAGUUAAAGGGACAGUAUAGCAAAUACUAAAAACUAAUGGAAGUCAAGGUUGGUGUUACCUGAACAGCACAAUCAUGGAAAAUGUUCCUGAGCCAGGAGAAAGCAGUGUUCUUGUGACGCUUGUAAAGAAGCUUCACUUGUUCUGUGAUAACUUCUUCAGCCUGAGGACAUGUUUCCUUGUAAUAGUUCAUAACAAGACCAGGAUUUUGCUCUUCUUCUGCAAAAACAGGACUCAGCAGGGACACUGCUGAAAAGGAUAAUAGAACCAAAAACAUGAAAACUCUUGGACCCAUUUCUCUCUCCUCUCACUACUAACUAUGCUCACUCACCUACUUUACUCCCCUCUCUGCUACUUCUUAAAUAACCAAAUACCGCAGUAUCAAGAUAAAUGUGCUACCAGUCAAAUAUUCAAAAUGCAACUUGGUGUAUAGCGGUAACCAACCCAUUGCAGAAUGUUUAUUUUAGUUAUUAAAACAACGAAAAUUAUGGAAAUUAUCAAAUGAUAAUCAAAAUAUCACAUGUUCAAUUCAUUGUAAGCGAGGAUAACAACAGAAUUCGAAAAAGAUUAGUUAUUUAUCCUAAUAAAAAAUAUGGAAUUAUGGCUUUUAGAAUUUAAAUAGUUGCUGUUAGUGAAGGAAAAUAUAUAGUUACUGAAAUUGUGCAUAAGAAACAAUAACCCAGAAGGUUAUUUAUCAAAAAAUACAGUAACUUAACAAGAACUCAAAAAGUUACACCAAAAAACAUGAUAAAAUAGUUUUUUUGGGUACACUUCUAAUACUUCUUUUGUUCAUACGUAACUAACUUUACAUAGAAAUAAAAUUGGCCAUUUUGGGACCUUUUGUAAAUUUAGAGCUUCCGAGUUUCAGUUAAUGAAAUAUAAGUUUUGGAAUUUUCGAUUUUUAUCAAACGCUCACAGUGAUAGACAACGAAAUUUUACCGAUUAGUUACUUACUGGCCAUUAUAUAAGAAGUUUUGUUAUCCUAAUUUUGGGUUGAAAAAGAUGGGAAGUGGUGGGGUAGAAGCACUUACGGGAAAUGCUGAAAUUUAAUUUAGUUAUGCUCAUUUAUUAUUGAGUGUAACAUCUGGAAAAAAAUGUGAAUACUCAUUUAUUAUUGAGUGUAACAUCUAUACACGUGUCAAAGAUAGUGCAAACUUUUUGACUAAAAAAUGUAUACUAACCAUGUAAAAGUACAUCAUGCACAAUUCAUUUUUAUUGAUGAUUGACUUUUAAAUAUGAAUAUAUUUUUUUUACCUCUCUAUAUUGUUUGGAUGGAUGCCCCACCACUAUAUGUUUGCUUACGUGUUCUGAUAAGAAAGGCCUUCGGGUCUGGAAUGGAGUCGGGCACUUCUUAAGCAUGUGAGGAACAUGGUCUGGGUUGAUAACUGGGUCAACCUCU